GACGAACGCUGGCGGCGUGCUUAACACAUGCAAGUCGAACGGAAAGGCCCUGCUUUUGUGGGGUGCUCGAGUGGCGAACGGGUGAGUAACACGUGAGUAACCUGCCCUUGACUUUGGGAUAACUUCAGGAAACUGGGGCUAAUACCGGAUAGGAGCUCCUGCUGCAUGGUGGGGGUUGGAAAGUUUCGGCGGUUGGGGAUGGACUCACGGCUUAUCAGCUUGUUGGUGGGGUAGUGGCUUACCAAGGCUUUGACGGGUAGCCGGCCUGAGAGGGUGACCGGCCACAUUGGGACUGAGAUACGGCCCAGACUCCUACGGGAGGCAGCAGUGGGGAAUAUUGCACAAUGGGCGGAAGCCUGAUGCAGCAACGCCGCGUGCGGGAUGACGGCCUUCGGGUUGUAAACCGCUUUCGCCUGUGACGAAGCGUGAGUGACGGUAAUGGGUAAAGAAGCACCGGCUAACUACGUG
RNAcentral lists this ribosomal RNA (468 nucleotides) under uncultured bacterium. RNAcentral's name for it is "partial 16S ribosomal RNA". It matches the Rfam family "Bacterial small subunit ribosomal RNA", at positions 28 to 507 of the family's 1533-position model. The record is from RNAcentral.